RNAcentral lists this ribosomal RNA (781 nucleotides) under uncultured Neocallimastigales. RNAcentral describes it as "partial large subunit ribosomal RNA". It matches the Rfam family "Eukaryotic large subunit ribosomal RNA", at positions 23 to 633 of the family's 3401-position model. The record is from RNAcentral. Lineage: Eukaryota; Fungi; Neocallimastigomycota; Neocallimastigomycetes; Neocallimastigales.
AAGAGAGAGACAUGCGCGCAUAUCAAUAAGCGGAGGAAAAGAAACUAACUAAGGAUUCCCUCAGUAACGGCGAGUGAAGCGGGAAGAGCUCAAAUUUGAAAUCUUCAAGGUUCUACCUUGACGAAUUGUAGUUUAAAGAAGUGUUUUCUGUUGGAGUUUUGGUAAAAGUUCUUUGGAAUAAGGACAUCAUAAGAGGGUGAGAAUCCCGUAUUUGACCAUUAUUUCCAGCUUUGUGAUACACUUUCAAAGAGUCGGAUUGUUUGGGAAUGCAGUCCAAAAUGGGUGGUAAAUUUCAUCUAAAGCUAAAUAUUGGCGAGAGACCGAUAGCGAACAAGUACCGUGAGGGAAAGAUGAAAAGAACUUUGAAAAGAGAGUUAAACAGUACGUGAAAUUGUCAAAAGGGAAGCGUUUGACACCAGUGUUGUUUUCUCGAAAAUCAAUUAAAAAAUGGCUGGAUUUUGUGUUGUAUUGACUUUAUCAAGCUUUCUUCACUCUUUUCUUGUCUUUUUUAAUGCACUUUUCGUUUAACAAGUCAACAUCAGUUUCUUUUGUUGUAAAAGGGUCAUUGGAAGGUGGCUUUCUUUUCGGAGAAAGUGUUUAUAGCCUUUGGCCUCUGCAAUCGGAGAGAUUGAGGUCUGCAGCGUAGACUCCUUCGGGGUUAGAUACAUUUGUGCUAAGUUAUAGCCUUUCAUAGACAACUUGUUGACUAUGAUCAGUCAUGUAGCUUACUCGCUUAUGCUAUUUUACCUACGCUUAGGAUGUUGACAGCAGUAUAGACUGU